GCUAACCAGUUCUGAUGUGCAAAUCGUUUGGAUGACUUGGGUAUAGGGGUGAAAGGCCAAUCUAGGCCGGAUAUAGCUGGUUCCCCGCGAAACUAGUCGCAGCUAGACUUCGAUCGAGGCAGAAUGUGAGGUAGAGCACCGAUUGGAUGCUUAGGGAGGGAAACCUCUCGGUGUCUUGUCAAACUCCGAACUUGCGUUCACCGUAGACAUCGGAUGCAAGGCUACCCGGGGUAAGCUUGGUAGCCAUAAGGGAAACAACCCAGACUUAAGUUAAGGUCCCCAAAUCUCAGUCAAGUGUAAUAUGAAAUGGCGUCAGUAGUCUAAAACAACCGGGAGGUGAGCUCAGAAGCAGCCACCCUUUAAAGAUAGCGUAACAGCUCACCGGUCGAGAUUAUGGGCCCAGAAAAUGGACGGGGCUAAACUGAGUACCGAUACUUAAGAAUACAGCAAUGUAAUUUGAUAGCGGGGCGUGGUGCAUGGGCAGAAGUAGGGCCGUGAGGUCCUAUGGACCGUGUACCAACGAGGAUCAUGGAGUGAGUAGCAGCAUAGCAUGGUGAGAAUCCAUGUCGCCGCAGGGGCAAGGGUUCCUUGGCAAUGUUCGUCAGCCAAGGGUUAGUCGAUCCUAAGGUAACUCUUAAUCGAGGUUAUCGAAAGGGAAUCAGGUUAAUAUUCCUGAACUUCAACACUCUUUGCCUAUGGUGCAGGAUCGGGGUAGCUAAAGCAAGCCUGUCAGCUUGUCUAAACGUCUAACGAGGUGAAGAACCGUAAUGGUGAGAAGCCUCCGAAAGCGCGAUGGGGCGGGAGUAAUCCCGCUUUUGGUAAUCCCUGGUCCCAGUGAAAACACCAUAGUUACAAGUGUUGGAAUCGUACCAAGAACCGACACAGGUGUCCCUAGGUGAGUAGCCUAAGGCGUGUUAGCAUAAUCAAGGUAAGGGAAUUCGGCAAAUUAGCCCUGUAACUUCGGGAUAAAGGGUGCCAGUAGUGAGAGCUACUGGUCGCAGUGACAAGAGAAAUCCGACUGUUUAGUAAAAACAUAGGUCCCAGCUAGUUCGAAAGGAUGUGUAUUGGGGCCGAAGCCUGCCCAGUGUCGGCAUCUGAAAUCCGGUUUCAACCGGUCGAAGGACCGAUAAACGGCGGGGGUAACUAUGACCCUCUUAAGGUAGCGUAAUACCUUGUCGCUUAAUUGGCGACUUGCAUGAAGGCUCAACGAGGUUUCCACUGUCCCUACCUUGACGCUAGUGAAAACAAUCAAUCUGGUGCACAAUCCAGAUCAUUCCAUCUGAAAGCGAAGACCCCAUGGAGUUUCACUGCAACCUGUUGUUGUUGUAGGAGAUGGUAUGUGUAGGGUAGACGGGAGACGUUACCCAGGAAGGAGCGCUAGCUUCUCUCCGAGUCAACGAUGAAACACCGUCCUUACCAUUUCUUACGACUCACCCUUUCGAGGGGACAGCUAUAGGCGGGCAGUUCGGGUGGGGCGCCACGCCCUCAAAAAGAUAACAAGGGCGCCCAAAGGUUAGCUCAGUAAGGUCAGAAAUCUUACGAAGAAUGUAAAGGUAAAAGCUAGCUUGACUCGGAACCAGACAAUAGGGUUCGGAGAUAGGAAACUAUGGCUUAGCGAACCAAUCAGCCUCCCAAGUGGGGGCGAUUGAUAUCAGAAAAAUUACCCUGGGGAUAAUUGAGUUGUCACGGGCAAGAGUUCAUAUCGACCCCGUGGCUUGCUACUUCGCUGUCGGCUCUCCCUAUCCUGGUGGUGCAGCAGCUGCCAAGGGUGGGGUUGUUCGCCCAUUAAAAGGGAUCGUGAGCUGGGUUUAAAACGUCGCGAGACAGUUUUGUUGCUUUUUGAUGGAAUUGUUCGUGCCUGACGAGAAGGAUCCUUUAGUACGAGAGGAACAGGGAUUCGUCGCCUCUAGUUUAUCUGUUGUCUGACAAGGCAGGCAGAGUAGCCACGCGAUAGUGAAUAAGAGCUGAAGGCAUCUAAGCUCGAAGCCACCUUGAAAAAGAGGCACUAUAAGAUAUCCGUAUAUGACGGGUUUGAUAGAAGCCGGAUGUAAGUACUGAGGUUCGCCGAGGUAUUCAGUCCUGGCUAACUAACAUCUUUGCCGC
RNAcentral lists this ribosomal RNA (2103 nucleotides) under human gut metagenome. RNAcentral describes it as "bacterial LSU rRNA". It matches the Rfam family "Archaeal large subunit ribosomal RNA", at positions 851 to 2987 of the family's 2987-position model. The record is from RNAcentral.